Molecule: unclassified non-coding RNA, 168 nt
Filed under: uncultured Oidiodendron
Lineage: Eukaryota; Fungi; Ascomycota; Leotiomycetes; Myxotrichaceae
Description: sequence contains ITS1
Source: RNAcentral
CAGAGUUCUCGCCCUAACGGGUAGACCUCCCACCCACUGUGAUUGUUACCGUCGUUGCUUUGGCGGGCCGCUGGGCCUAGCCCGGCCACCGGCCCCGGCUGGUGCGCGCCCGCCAGAGGCUCCGCAAACUCUAGAUGUCUACGUCGUCUGAGUACUAUAUAAUAGUUA